CUUGCCUCCGUCUCCAGCUCGCCACACGGGCCACAGCGCCAGCAGCCGGUGUCUGACUUUGUUUAGCUUCAGCCGUAGCCACACGGCGUCCAUGCUGGCUGAUCCUCAUUUUGAACAACGUGCUAAAGAAGUUUUCAGGCGCUCGCAUAAAAACCUACAACCGUCAACUAAAUGAAACAGAAAAUCAUCAAUAACCCUCAUAGCCUCACCAUUAUAAUGAAAAGGUUACUUGUUAGGUACCAGAAAUGAAAGAAAAUUUAAAGGCAAAUACUCACCUUGUAUUUUAAAGGUGACAUCUUCAACUCUAGUUACCUAUUUUACCGGCAUCAAGUGAACGUCUUCCGUCUGCUUAAAUCGAUGGAGGAAGACAUUGGCGAAGCAAAAAACGGUAUGGCGAUUGCGGCAUGUGCUGGAGUUGGAGAAGCGCUAGCUCACAUCACAUAUAAGCGAAACUCUGCGCCGACAAGGGGAGGCCAAUCAAAGCCAGAGUUUUGCAUUGCGGAGCUUUACUGAUGAAUUUGGUCAGUACCAAAAACUAGCAAAUGGCGGUCUCGGUGGUGGCCAACACGUUACCAAUUAAACAACAAUUGCCCCUUAUACAGCGAUACAUCCAAGCACAGACUGCGUGCAUGAAAAAGGUCAGUGGAUGCUUUGGACGUUUCGUCAUAAAUUAUAUCAGGAGUAGUAACGGGGGUACUAUUUUGUAUUAUCUGGGGAGAGCUUGAGCUACCGUGCGGCUGUUCCAUACGAAAUCGCUAGUACGCUCCGCUAUUUGACUUGUUUAGGAGCGUUAGUGUGCCAACAACUCAUCAAUUACUAGAGCACUAUUGCGGUCCGAAACAAUUUUAAAUACCGGAGUGUUAUAAUUUGGUAUGGAAUAGUCGCAACGCCAUCUAUGGAGCUUAACACGCGUAGCUCCAGGGGUUUUGCAGACGUUACUACUCUUGGUUCACUUCAAGGUUUCGUCGAAAAAAGUCAUUAAAGGAAUGUUAUGAUUUGUUUCCACAAUUGAAGGUUUAUUUAUUCUUGCCUCAUGAUUGUGCACACCGAUUGUUUAUCUUGAUGAGGACAAACUGUACCAAAAACACUCAUUUAAGUUCAUUCGAGGAGCGAUCUGAGGUACUAUGUUGCAGGUAGCCUAACAGGAUACAAUAUUGGAAAGGAACAUGUUAGAAUUAACCAUUUAACUAGCAGUCAAAACUACAGGACUACAGAAACAACGGAAACUGGUGGCCGAAUUUGUUGGUGUUAUUAAACUCAUGUUGAAAAUGUUUGGCAUAUCGCUGUUUCUCACUUAGCAGCAACAAACACUAGAUGAAGUAUCUGAAACGGAAUUCUACGUUCCAACGACCUUCUAGAUAACGUAGCUGGAUCAGCGUCGCAGCGGGUGAGUAGAGGAUUUGAUGGCUUCAAACAAGUUCAAGAACUCGCCACAGAAUUGGAAGCAGGCAGUCUAUUUGCCUGGCCAACGUUUUCCCAAUGGGCGUGGCCUUCCAAGUUCCCUCUCAUACCAGAUGCUCACCGAGACUCAGAAGCAGCGCCCGAUCGUAUCCGCCAACAUCUUGCUCAAGUUGCGACUGUCUUGCUGAUCUCGGCCAGAGUGUUUUUCGAUCGCAUAGAAAUGAAAGCAUUCUGUGAGGCCAAAACCAAAUCGAUGGGAUAACCUAAACUCCGUCUGAUUUUGUUACCUCACGUCGUGUAUGGGGAUUGGCCCAUGGACAAACCACUGGACAUUUCCCAAUAUGCCUUACCGAUCAUGGAUUGGGGGGAACUCAUAGUGGAGUCAUCGUCGAUGUUCAAACGAGAAUGUCACUCAUCCCCGUUGGUCCUGUCCGUUUGCUCUGUCAUAUCCCUUUGCUGAUCCUGGAGUACCUUUGUUACCAGCACAUUUUCGAAGUGACGCAGUGUCAAAGGUAAACUGGUGAUCUGUACGAGUGGCUGUUAUCGUUCUCUUUAAUUUCGAACGUGAAACACCCGAUAUCCUUACGGUUGAUGCGGAUGUUGACGUGUUUGACUUGGCUUUCAGAAUCGUCUAUGACCACCAACAAUCGGUCCCCGACAAAGCACGGAAGUAAUAGUUCUAUAGUGCAUUUAAGCAACUGUCGUACCAAACGGUGUGCAAGAAAUUGGAACAUUGCACUCAUUUCAAAGAAAUUUAUCAACUUGAAAAAACUUUCCUGGGAAAAGAAAUGCUGAAUGCACACAUCAUGUGUCCCAUGAAAUCUCUGAACAACUAGUUUACGUAGGUGAUUUGAAUCAGCCAUCCAAAAGCUGCAGUCGCCUUAAAGGUGUUUGGAUUGCUACCUUCUAAAGGCAAUCUAAUUUCAACGUCCAUCGAUUCAAGACCAUUAUGGAAGGUGAAUUUCCAUCGGUGGUCAAAGCGAUACGUUUACCGUCCAUCGUAAGGAAAUAGGUGCUAAAUUUCCCAAUUUCAACUGAAAAUGUCAGAGACAGCGUGGCUUCGUAGCAACCACUUAUUAUCAACUCCUGAUGCAAAGGGGGAAAAGUCCAAUUCUCAAAUGGGUGUGUGGUGUCCAGCCGAUUGCAGUCUCUAGACGAAGACGAUGUGGUGAAUUUCCAGAUAUGACUUCCUUUCAAAAGAAUAUAACCGAAGACGAGUCCUUCUGCGUAAACGUCGCUUUUGAUGGAGCCUUUAGUUUGUUUAAUAAUCAGUAUGUUUUUUCCGG
This 2687-nucleotide long non-coding RNA is filed under the name Daphnia magna. RNAcentral describes it as "uncharacterized LOC116919405, transcript variant X1". Lineage: Eukaryota; Metazoa; Arthropoda; Branchiopoda; Diplostraca; Daphniidae. The record is from RNAcentral.